RNAcentral lists this long non-coding RNA (243 nucleotides) under Carica papaya (papaya). Its description in RNAcentral is "long non-coding RNA (CPAP_LNC010766)". The record is from RNAcentral. Lineage: Eukaryota; Viridiplantae; Streptophyta; Magnoliopsida; Brassicales; Caricaceae.
UACCCCGAAGGAAACAACAUAGGAGUUGGAAAGUGAGAUGAAGGAGAAAUAUCUGCACCUGUUCGAGAUAAAUUUGGGGACCAAAUUUUUCUAAGGUCGGGGGGAUGUAACACCGUGUCCAUCACUGUGUUUAAUUAAUUUGGAAAAUCUUAUUUAUUCAGGCCCUUAGGCCACAUUGAACUCAUUUAAUUUACCCAAAAAUUAUUAUCGUAAUUCGUGAAUUAUGCCAAUUUUUAUUUAUUU